CAGCAGCCGCCACGGUAAUACGUAGGUGGCAAGCGUUGUCCGGAAUUAUUGGGCGUAAAGGGCUUGCAGGCGGUUUCUUAAGUCUGAUGUGAAAGCCCCCGGCUCAACCGGGGAGGGUCAUUGGAAACUGGGAAACUUGAGUGCAGAAGAGGAGAGUGGAAUUCCACGUGUAGCGGUGAAAUGCGUAGAGAUGUGGAGGAACACCAGUGGCGAAGGCGACUCUCUGGUCUGUAACUGACGCUGAGGAGCGAAAGCGUGGGGAGCGAACAGGAUUAGAUACCCGCGUAGUCCCUGUCUCUUU
Molecule: ribosomal RNA, 301 nt
Filed under: uncultured bacterium
Lineage: Bacteria
Description: partial 16S ribosomal RNA
Rfam family: Bacterial small subunit ribosomal RNA
Source: RNAcentral